GAUGAACGCUGGCGGCGUGCCUAAUACAUGCAAGUCGAGCGAACAGACGAGGAGCUUGCUCCUCUGACGUUAGCGGCGGACGGGUGAGUAACACGUGGAUAACCUACCUAUAAGACUGGGAUAACUUCGGGAAACCGGAGCUAAUACCGGAUAAUAUAUUUAACCGCAUGGUUCAAUAGUGAAAGACGGUUUUGCUGUCACUUAUAGAUGGAUCCGCGCCGCAUUAGCUAGUUGGUAAGGUAACGGCUUACCAAGGCGACGAUGCGUAGCCGACCUGAGAGGGUGAUCGGCCACACUGGAACUGAGACACGGACCAGACUCCUACGGGAGGCAGCAGUAGGGAAUAUUCCGCAAUGGGCGAAAGCCUGACGGAGCAACGCCGCGUGAGUGAUGAAGGUCUUCGGAUCGUAAAACUCUGUUAUUAGGGAAGAACAAAUGUGUAAGUAACUAUGCACGUCUUGACGGUACCUAAUCAGAAAGCAACGGCUAACUACGUG
Molecule: ribosomal RNA, 497 nt
Filed under: uncultured bacterium
Lineage: Bacteria
Description: partial 16S ribosomal RNA
Rfam family: Bacterial small subunit ribosomal RNA
Source: RNAcentral